GAUGAACGCUGGCGGCGUGCCUAAUACAUGCAAGUCGAACGCAUAGCGAAAGGUGCUUGCACCUUUCAAGUGAGUGGCGAACGGGUGAGUAACACGUGGACAACCUGCCUCAAGGCUGGGGUUAACAUUUGGAAACAGAUGCUAAUACCGAAUAAAACUUAGUGUCGCAUGACACUAAGUUAAAAGGCGCUUCGGCGUCACCUAUAGCUGGAUCCGCGGUGCAUUAGUUAGUUGGUGGGGUAAAGGCCUACCAAGACAAUGAUGCAUAGCCGAGUUGAGAGAGUGAUCGGCCACAUUGGGACUGAGACACGGCCAAAAAUCCGACGGGAGGCUGCAGUAGGGAAUAUUCCACAAUGGGCGAAAGCAUGAUGGAGCAACGCCGCGUGUGAGAUGAAGGCUUUCGGGUCGUAAAGCACUGUUGUAUGGGAAGAACAGCUAGAAUAGGAAAUGAUUUUAGUGUGACGGUACCAUACCAGAAAGGGACGGCUAAAUACGUG
RNAcentral lists this ribosomal RNA (497 nucleotides) under uncultured bacterium. RNAcentral's name for it is "partial 16S ribosomal RNA". It matches the Rfam family "Bacterial small subunit ribosomal RNA", at positions 28 to 507 of the family's 1533-position model. The record is from RNAcentral.